UAGGGAAUAUUGGACAAUGGGCGAAAGCCUGAUCCAGCAAUGCCGCGUGAGUGAUGAAGGCCUUAGGGUUGUAAAGCUCUUUUACCCGGGAUGAUAAUGACAGUACCGGGAGAAUAAGCCCCGGCUAACUCCGUGC
Molecule: ribosomal RNA, 136 nt
Filed under: uncultured bacterium
Lineage: Bacteria
Description: partial 16S ribosomal RNA
Rfam family: Bacterial small subunit ribosomal RNA
Source: RNAcentral